UGGGCUGUAGCCAAGCGGUAAGGCAACGGAUUUUGGCUCCGUCAUGCAAAGGUUCGAAUCCUUUCAGCCCAG
Molecule: transfer RNA, 72 nt
Filed under: Nosocomiicoccus ampullae
Lineage: Bacteria; Bacillati; Bacillota; Bacilli; Caryophanales; Staphylococcaceae
Also listed under: 4 other names
Description: tRNA-Gln
Rfam family: tRNA
About the family: Transfer RNA (tRNA) molecules are approximately 80 nucleotides in length. Their secondary structure includes four short double-helical elements and three loops (D, anti-codon, and T loops). Further hydrogen bonds mediate the characteristic L-shaped molecular structure. tRNAs have two regions of fundamental functional importance: the anti-codon, which is responsible for specific mRNA codon recognition, and the 3' end, to which the tRNAs corresponding amino acid is attached (by aminoacyl-tRNA synthetases). tRNAs cope with the degeneracy of the genetic code in two manners: having more than one tRNA (with a specific anti-codon) for a particular amino acid; and 'wobble' base-pairing, i.e. permitting non-standard base-pairing at the 3rd anti-codon position.
Source: RNAcentral